UUAUUCAGAAGAUGCAGCUGCGGUAGGUUAACGUUAACGACAAACAACUGACACAGAGAACGGGACCGAUGGUCGGCCAGCCCCGGUUAUUCUUGAGUCUAUAAGCUUCUGGAGCCGCCAGGCGCCUAUCAGAACGGAGCGGACUCCUCUUAAAGAGACAGGAGCUAAAACAGCCUUAACGGCAGGGCGGAGGAUAACUUUGCUGCCUUGGCCGGCGGCUCUGAGCCUCCACUGAGUGAACAGUCCAGGUGUACCCGUUCUGUCUGUGCCCACCAUGAUGGACACAUGCACCCCCCUCCCCUCCUGCUCCACCUUGCCCAGUGCCAUCUUUGGGAGGUGGAUAUAAAUAUCUGUGAACGGACGUUGCCUGUCGUGUGCUGCUGUAAAAGCUCGGAGCAACCUUCAAGGCAGGUUGUCGAUUUCUUCUCCAAUCACAUCAGGAAAAGGAGCGGGGGGGAUUCAUUGUGACUGAUUGAUAUUGUCAUGUAAAGUAGUUCAUAAUUUAAUUUCCCACUUAGCUGUUUUAUUUUUUGAACUCUGCACCUUUAAUUUGAGAGAUUAUCUUUAUUUCUGUGCAUUUUUAUGUUCCUGACAUUAUUAUUAUAGCCACCAGAGGGCAGUAAACCCCUUUCUGCUGCAAAAUAUUAAGGAUUUGUAGCCUCUAGUCUUUUCCCAAUAAGUAAGCAACUAAAACAUAAAUUGUGCAGUAGCUGAUUGAGGUCAAAGGUCACUGAAUUGUGGGAUUACGCCUGCAACAGGAGCG
Long non-coding RNA from Scomber scombrus (Atlantic mackerel), 763 nucleotides. RefSeq lists it as uncharacterized. The transcript has 3 exons. The record is from RefSeq and is a predicted model, not a curated record. Lineage: Eukaryota; Metazoa; Chordata; Actinopteri; Scombriformes; Scombridae.